Molecule: ribosomal RNA, 253 nt
Filed under: uncultured bacterium
Lineage: Bacteria
Description: partial 16S ribosomal RNA
Rfam family: Bacterial small subunit ribosomal RNA
Source: RNAcentral
UACGUAGGGACCAAGCGUUGUUCGGAUUUACUGGGCGUAAAGGGCUCGUAGGCGGCCAACUAAGUCGGACGUGAAAUCCCCAGGCUCAACCUGGGAACUGCGUCUGAUACUGGAUGGCUUGAAUUCGGGAGAGGGAUGCAGAAUUCCAGGUGUAGCGGUGAAAUGCGUAGAUAUCUGGAGGAAUACCGGUGGCGAAGGCGGCAUCCUGGACCGACAUUGACGCUGAGGAGCGAAAGCUAGGGGAGCAAACGGG